AUUGAACGCUGGCAGCAGGCCUAACACAUGCAAGUCGAGCGGAUGAAGGGAGCUUGCUCCUGGAUUCAGCGGCGGACGGGUGAGUAAUGCCUAGGAAUCUGCCUGGUAGUGGGGGAUAACGUCCGGAAACGGGCGCUAAUACCGCAUACGUCCUGAGGGAGAAAGUGGGGGAUCUUCGGACCUCACGCUAUCAGAUGAGCCUAGGUCGGAUUAGCUAGUUGGUGGGGUAAAGGCUUACCAAGGCGACGAUCCGUAACUGGUCUGAGAGGAUGAUCAGUCACACUGGAACUGAGACACGGUCCAGACUCCUACGGGAGGCAGCAGUGGGGAAUAUUGGACAAUGGGCGAAAGCCUGAUCCAGCCAUGCCGCGUGUGUGAAGAAGGUCUUCGGAUUGUAAAGCACUUUAAGUUGGGAGGAAGGGCAGUAAGUUAAUACCUUGCUGUUUUGACGUUACCAACAGAAUAAGCACCGGCUAACUUCGUG
RNAcentral lists this ribosomal RNA (484 nucleotides) under uncultured bacterium. RNAcentral describes it as "partial 16S ribosomal RNA". It matches the Rfam family "Bacterial small subunit ribosomal RNA", at positions 30 to 507 of the family's 1533-position model. The record is from RNAcentral.